GCCUCAGUAGUCGAGCUGGCUAAAACACUUUUCCUCGAAAGUUGAGGAGGUCCUAGGUUCGAAUCCUGACUGAGGUA
Molecule: non-coding RNA, 77 nt
Organism: Trachymyrmex septentrionalis
Lineage: Eukaryota; Metazoa; Arthropoda; Insecta; Hymenoptera; Formicidae
Source: Rfam